AAAUACGCGCUUUCUUCACUGCAAGAAGCUGGAAUAUUUUGACGUUCAAUCCCCUCCAUGGAAACAAGUUGCUUACUCACUGCUGCUGCUGCAGUAUGAGUCACCCAGGAAUAUUCUUAGCACAGCCAGAUGACAAUGGGCUCCCAACAGCCAACCAUCCCUGCCAGCUAGCCUGCCCAGUGGCAAGGCAUGAUGGGAGUUGUAGUCCAAAAAUGUUUGGAGGCCAGCUUGGGAAAAGCUGUCUUUAAUAUGAAUAUGUGUGUUCUCGUUUUGUGUUCCUUGACCCCAACGCUUAAGGCUGUGCAAUUUUCAGGAAACACACACCCCAUUCCAGACACAUUCCCUCCACCCUCAAAGAAUUCUGGGCAAUGUAGUUUUCCCUUCACAGAGUUACUGUUCCCAACAACCCUGCACAAACCACAGGGCCCAGGAUUCUCUGAGGGGACAGUGCGGGCGCCCCGCUUCUCCUCAUUGGCUCACAGCACAACUCCUCCCCGUUUGUAUUCCUGACAGGAGAAAGCCCCUUAUCCGAGGCUCCGCUUCCCUCGGGAUGAAGGCCAGCUCUGGCCUGGGAAGGGGCAGGUCGCGGCGGGUGGUUUAUGUGAACAGUUUCGGCAGCCACCGCUGCGGCAAUGUGAUUCGUUAUGGCGGCGGCGGCCACCUGAGGGACCCGGAGGCUUCCUGCCUCUCGGGCGCGUCUCCCGCUGCCUCGCUCUCGGGCAGAAGAGGCUUUCGGAGUGCAGCCGGUCCUCCCUCCGGGGAACGAGGGAGCCCCUGCUUGGGGCUGAAAGCCCCUGGCGAGGCGAGAGCGAAGGGGGUCGGGAGAGGCUGGGAGGAAGGAGGCGAGGCGAAGAGGCCUAGAGCCGAGAGGCUGGUUGGGGUCAAGCCACCGCCGACGCCACGCGAAGGGCGGAGCAGCAAGGCGGAGGCGGAGGCUGCCAACUCCACAGGCUCCGACGGCCAGGAAGAAGCGGGUGGCUGCAAGGAAACUCAAGGAGAUGCAUUUGAAUUUCCUCCUUCCUGGGAAGUUGAUAACAGUGAGAUCAGGCAUCAAAAGAAAGAGUCCACAGUCUGGCUUGGAGUGUGUAAAGUAAUUUCUAAAAUGAUAGAAGAAAAUGGACACUUUAGAAGCAGAUUGCUGUCCUGUAGCGAACUUCCAAGUGAAGUGGGUCUAUUCAAAGUAAAACUUAGUUGAAUACCACCCAGUGGAAUUUACUCCAGGCAGAGAUGUAAAUGGGAAUGUACAAAAUGAGACUUCCUGCAUUGACACUGAUGAAACCAUUUUUGGAUGGGUGUAGGAAACAAAGCGACAAGGAAAUGAAGAUUUACUUCAGGUUUUGCAUUUUAGCUGUUUUCCAGUAAUCCUUUAUCUAUACAGGAGAAACAGAUUCUUAGCAUCAGAGGUACUGGAAUACAAAUACUAUACAUGUUAUGUGGAACAAUUUAUGUGUUUUUCAUGUAAUAGGUUAAUUGUAAUGUAAGUUUGAUUUUGUUUAAAUGUGAUUAAGCAAAUCAGCUUUGCACUUGGGUUUAGGUUUUCAUAAAGGAAUACAAUGCAGUAUGAUUACAAUACAAUAUAAUAUUUUUAAUGUUGAUUUUAUGUGUAUGUACUGUAAUAAUCAGCUUCUCAGAAUAAAGUAUGGAUCUAUGAAGUAAA
This is an RNA transcript of Podarcis raffonei (Aeolian wall lizard), 1657 nucleotides long. RefSeq lists it as uncharacterized. The transcript is spliced from 6 exons. NCBI's taxonomy places the organism in Eukaryota, Metazoa, Chordata, Lepidosauria, Squamata, Lacertidae. The record is from RefSeq and is a predicted model, not a curated record.